Molecule: ribosomal RNA, 464 nt
Filed under: Vreelandella stevensii
Lineage: Bacteria; Pseudomonadati; Pseudomonadota; Gammaproteobacteria; Oceanospirillales; Halomonadaceae
Description: partial 16S ribosomal RNA
Rfam family: Bacterial small subunit ribosomal RNA
Source: RNAcentral
CCUACGGGUGGCUGCAGUGGGGAAUAUUGGACAAUGGGCGAAAGCCUGAUCCAGCCAUGCCGCGUGUGUGAAGAAGGCCUUCGGGUUGUAAAGCACUUUCAGUGGGGAAGAAAGCCUUGGGGCUAAUACCCUCGAGGAAGGACAUCACCCACAGAAGAAGCACCGGCUAACUCCGUGCCAGCAGCCGCGGUAAUACGGGGGGUGCGAGCGUUAAUCGGAAUUACUGGGCGUAAAGCGCGCGUAGGCGGUCUGAUAAGCCGGUUGUGAAAGCCCCGGGCUCAACCUGGGAACGGCAUCCGGAACUGUCAGGGUAGAGUGCAGGAGAGGAAGGUAGAAUUCCCGGUGUAGCGGUGAAAUGCGUAGAGAUCGGGAGGAAUACCAGUGGCGAAGGCGGCCUUCUGGACUGACACUGACGCUGAGGUGCGAAAGCGUGGGUAGCAAACAGGAUUAGAUCCCUUGUAGUC